UGGUGAAGCUUUUCCGUAAUGCGACGGAGUUCCUUCCCGGACUCGUAAUUGCACCUCGUUUACAUUUUUUUCUGACAUUUCCAGAUAUUGUGCGCCACUUCGGAGGUAGCAGCACCAGACACAUCUCCUUUUUGUUGAUUUAUUAUGUUUUUUGUUUUUGUUUUUUGUUUUUGGAAAGGAGCAGACUAAGGAGGAAAAAAAAAAAAGGCCAAGAGGCAUGGAAUAGAAAGUACAGAUGCAAGCUGUUUUGCUAAUUUUUAAGUAACCACAACACGGUAGGACAAAGAAUGCCCUGCACAAAGCAGGGCGAUAAAGGUUCACAAAACAGAGAUCGAAGUGUUCUCUUAGGCAAGCCUCAAGAUCUCAGCCUCUGUGUGGUUUCUGAAUCCUGAAUGGACCCUGAGUAAUAUAUAACCUUCAGAGUUAUGCCUCUAUCAACCCCAGUUGUACUCCAUGGAAACUGAGGAGGUACUGAAGUGCACAAAAGCCAGUACUAGAAUCCAGAAUCGUCCAGAUCAAGUUGACAGCAGUGGUGAGUUGAGAACAAGAGGCUUGGUGAUACAUGGCUUAGAGUGAUAUGGGAGGUAAAGGUUGUUGAGUUGCUCUGCUGAAGGUGGUUUACUGGUGUAGGAAUGGUUGCCAACUUCAAGGGUUCUAUUCUGCCCAGUACAUUUACCGAUCUGGGUAUCAAGGUUCUGGAAGAGCAACAGAAAGGGUUACAGUAGAUUUCUGAUUUGUAAUCCGGUCCAUAUUGGCUUUAUUUGAAUGUCACAGUGGCUGAUACAAUGAGUGGGAAGCCAGAAAGAUGAUUCCGGAUUCUGGCUCUUCUCCAAGUCAGA
Long non-coding RNA from Neofelis nebulosa (Clouded leopard), 839 nucleotides. RefSeq lists it as uncharacterized. NCBI's taxonomy places the organism in Eukaryota, Metazoa, Chordata, Mammalia, Carnivora, Felidae. The record is from RefSeq and is a predicted model, not a curated record. The transcript is spliced from 3 exons.